UACGAAGGGGGCUAGCGUUGCUCGGAAUCACUGGGCGUAAAGCGCACGUAGGCGGAUCUUUAAGUCAGGGGUGAAAUCCUGGAGCUCAACUCCAGAACUGCCUUUGAUACUGGGGAUCUCGAGUCCGGGAGAGGUGAGUGGAACUCCGAGUGUAGAGGUGAAAUUCGUAGAUAUUCGGAAGAACACCAGUGGCGAAGGCGGCUCACUGGCCCGGUACUGACGCUGAGGUGCGAAAGCGUGGGGAGCAAACAGG
RNAcentral lists this ribosomal RNA (253 nucleotides) under uncultured bacterium. Its description in RNAcentral is "partial 16S ribosomal RNA". It matches the Rfam family "Bacterial small subunit ribosomal RNA", at positions 524 to 776 of the family's 1533-position model. The record is from RNAcentral.